AUGCGAAGUGUCGCACCUGUUGUUCUGUAUUAAAGAUUUACUAUGGUUACAUCUCUGGUUUGUUAUUGUAUUGAUUCGCAGCCGACAGACGUUCUGGCUGUGUAUUGAUCUGUGUGUACAAACAUUGUUUUGUCCACUGACAAGCAGUCGGUGUAUUUACUGGUAGAUUGUGUGUACCUGCGUUGUUUUCCGUGAUCGUUUUCUGUAAUCACGAUGCCGAAAGUAAAGGAGAGAAAGUUAUGUAAUAAACAGGAUACACCGCUGUUGACAACAGACAAAACGAAAAAUGGAAAAAAGGAAAUGGAAAGGCAGAUUGAAAAUAAAAAAAAUAAAUUACAUUCAUUUGAGGAGCCUAAUAAUAAAAGAGGAUCAGAGAUUCAGAGACCAGAGGGACUAUGCAGCAUACAGGAAAUGACUGUGGAACUGAAAGAGAGAACAAAAGAAGAUGAGUUGAUGCGUUCGUCACGGAAGGAAACCUCAUCCACAAAAAUUAGAAAAACAUCAAAACUUAAAAAAGAGUAACUCCUGAUAGAUGGCAGUGUAUGAACAAGUCUUCAAGAUAGCACCUGCACCAGAGGUGCAUUCCAAGCAAAGAACAGUUCUUGAAUUUCUGUUUGCAGCAAACCAGAUGAUCACAAACUUUCACAGACAUUUACAGAGUGGGAUGUGUGGAUAAAAGCAUGGCAAGUGGCUCUGUGAAGUUUCUGUCAUCAACAGAACAAGGAGGAAAUCUAUCGGAUCUCCCAUGUGCAGGCUGGCCCCACCAACUGGAAGGCAUGCAGUGAUACAGUGUGCAGACCCUGUUACUUGAGUAUGUAAUAAA
Molecule: unclassified non-coding RNA, 823 nt
Filed under: Schistocerca americana (American grasshopper)
Lineage: Eukaryota; Metazoa; Arthropoda; Insecta; Orthoptera; Acrididae
Description: uncharacterized LOC124554669, transcript variant X3
Source: RNAcentral